AUGGGGUGGUUGGAAAGAGUGGUCAUGCAGGUAGGAUGGGGGGACUGUGGGACUGAAUGGGGUGGUUGGGAAGAGUGGUCAUGCAGGUAGGAUGGGGGGACCGUGAGAUUGAAUGGGGUGGUUGGAAAGAGUGGUCAUGCAGGUAGGAUGGGGGGACCGUGGGACUGAAUGGGGUGGUUGGAAAGAGUGGUCGUGCGGGUAGGAUGGGGGGACCGUGAGAUUGAAUGGGGUGGUUGGAAAGAGUGGUCAUGCAGGUAGGAUGGGGGGACUGUGGGACUGAAUGGGGUGGUUGGAAAGAGUGGUCAUGCAGGUAGGAUGGGGGGACCGUGGGACUGAAUGGGGUGGUUGGAAAGAGUGGUCAUGCAGGUAGGAUGGGGGGACCGUGAGAUUGAAUGGGGUGGUUGGAAAGAGUGGUCAUGCAGGUAGGAUGGGGGGACCGUGGGACUGAAUGGGGUGGUUGGAAAGAGUGGUCGUGCGGGUAGGAUGGGGGGACCGUGAGAUUGAAUGGGGUGGUUGGAAAGAGUGGUCGUGCGGGUAGGAUGGGGGGACCGUGAGAUUGAAUGGGGUGGUUGGAAAGAGUGGUCGUGCGGGUAGGAUGAGGGGACCGUGGGAUUGCAUGGGGUGGUUGGAAAGACUGGUCGUGCAGGUAGGAUGGGGGGACCGUGAGAUUGAAUGGCGUGGUUGGAAAGAGUGGUCAUGCUUGAAGAUUAGAGUGGUUACUGUAUGUACCAUGGACAGCACCCACUUCGAAAAGAUCAGCCUGUAAUUUAGGAAGAUUUACCGUGCUGAGAUCAAAUUUGUUUUGGCAUAAUACAUUUAUGUUGCAGCCACACCGGCUUUUGCGUGUUAAUCUCUGAGGUUCAGGGAAAGAUUAAACCUUCCCAUAGGAUGUAACAGCUGCAAGUGUCUUUUUUUUUUUUUUUUUUUUUUUUUUUUUUUUUAAGACAGAGUCUCGCUUUGUCGCCCAGCCUGGAGUGCAGUGGGACAAUCUCGGCUCACUGUAAGCUUCGCCUUCCGGGUUCACGCCAUUCUCCUGCCUCAGCCUCCCGAGUAGCUGGGACUACAGGUGCCAGCCACCACGCCCGGCUAAUUUGUUGUAUUUUUAGUAGAGACAGUUUCACCGUGUUAGCCAGGAUGGUCUUGAUCUCCUGACCUCGUGAUCUGUCCAUCUCGGCCUCCUAAAGUGCUGGGAUUACAGACGUGAACCACCACACCCAGCAGCAAGUGUCUUUAUAACAGUAUACAAACACACAUAUAUUGUCUUACAUCUUCGUUUACAACCACGGAUCUCUGUUAGCUAAUUUUUAUUUAUUUUUCUGUCCAAGUAGCACGAGUGUGUUAUUUAGAAAUAUGGGCACAAAAAACGAUAGAAACUACCCAGAAGUUAAAGUACUUUCCUUAAUUUCUAAUGUGAGGGGGCAGGAGAAAGGGGUGUGUGGAUGAGUGGAAAAGACCAUGACUCUGUAAUCAUGUGACUUCAGCUAUACUUUAAAAUCUGUCUCUGCAUACAGUGUAGAUAAAAAUCAAUAAACAAAAUGUAGUAAAGUAACAGCAAGCAAGAGAGAAACAGAGAAUUAUGCUCUGUUUAUAAAGUGUAUGAAAUGAGUAAUUUUGGGCACAUGGAAGACAGGUCAUAUGUGGGCUCAGAAACAGCUGCUGGUGACAUAAAUAUAAACCUGUCAGUUGGUUCCUGACCUUAAGGAAAUUAACAUUUAAGAAAACUGAAGAAAACAUUUCUGCUUUCAUCUAUAUUAUCAUAGCUUGUAUUAUUCACUCAUUAAAGUCAACGAAAAAUAGCUGAAUAAACUGCACAAGAGCUCAAACUGCUUGAAGUCAUUGGAAAGCAAUCAAUACACAUAGGAAUUGAGGAGAAACAACCCUGAAGAAAAGGAAAUUACAAAGAACUGAGCCUGAAAUUCUGCCUGGAAUUUCCUCUCUGAGCACUUGUUAAAUUCUAAACUGAUAAGGGGUGAGAAGCCUAGAAAUCAAAAGAAAAUAGCUUCUAAGAGGCUCAACCCCAAGCAGAGCUGAACAGACAAACACUCUGGUACGUAUCACAGGUUUCCAAGAGAAAAAUCUUAAAGAGCCCCACUUCAAGAGUAGACAGUGACAUUAAAAAUGAAGCAGCUAUCACAAAGUCACUUCAGUCUCUGCUUGCAUCAAAGCGAGCUUUUGUCAUUGUAACUAUGGGCCAGAAUAAAAUAAAGUCUGAUGUGGAAAAAGAAAACAAGACAGAUCAUUUACUAUUUUUAAUGCCUAAUGUGCCAUCUUCAAUAAAAACCACUUAAUGUCUAAGAAGCAGACCGGUAGGUAAACCAGAUACUAUCAGUCUCAAAUUCUAAACUAGGAUCAAUAUGUUUAAUAAAUUAGA
Molecule: long non-coding RNA, 2371 nt
Filed under: Homo sapiens (human)
Lineage: Eukaryota; Metazoa; Chordata; Mammalia; Primates; Hominidae
Description: HSALNT0157451
Source: RNAcentral